UGCCAGCCGCCGCGGUAAUACGGAGGGUCCGAGCGUUAUCCGGAAUCAUUGGAUUUAAAGGGUCCGUAGGCGGGAAUCUAAGUCAGUGGUGAAAUCUUGCAGCUCAACUGUAAAAUUGCCAUUGAUACUGGAUUUCUUGAAUUAGUGUGAAGUGGUUAGAAUGUGUAGUGUAGCGGUGAAAUGCUUAGAGAUUACAUAGAAUACCGAUUGCGAAGGCAGAUCACUAACAAUAUAUUGACGCUGAUGAACGAAAGCGUGGGUAGCGAACGGGAUUAGAUA
Molecule: ribosomal RNA, 279 nt
Filed under: uncultured bacterium
Lineage: Bacteria
Description: partial 16S ribosomal RNA
Rfam family: Bacterial small subunit ribosomal RNA
Source: RNAcentral